This is a long non-coding RNA of Gallus gallus (chicken), 5588 nucleotides long. RefSeq lists it as uncharacterized. The transcript has 3 exons. The record is from RefSeq and is a predicted model, not a curated record. Lineage: Eukaryota; Metazoa; Chordata; Aves; Galliformes; Phasianidae.
GGCAGCUGCGUGGAGAGUGACGGCAGUGCCGGCAACAUGGCGUUUGCGGCCCGCACCGCGGCCGGUGCUGGAGGCCGACGAGGGGUCGUGCGGGUGGAGCCGCUGCAGCCCUAAUGCUCUGCAGUGCUGCCGAAAGUUACUCCACUACCUACGGCGUUCUGCUAAGGCACAGUGUAGGCUGUUGUGAAGUUAAUUGACGAUGUUAAGAAGUAUAACUAUUCAUCUCACUUGUAACAGAAUGCUAUUUUGGGACUGUAAAACUUACGGGAGCUUAACUACUUGUCCCACAUGCAAGCAGAAUAUGAGGCAGGUAGAGAAAUUCAGCAACAUGCAGCACUGGACAGUGUGGAACAAAAAAGCAUUGAAAUUUCGGCAGCAGCCAGCUCUGAAGACUUACAGAGCUUUCCUCGUGAAAAGAGUGCUGUGUAUUUAAUGCCAUCUAGUUGUAUCUCUGUGUAGUGGUGCACCUGUAACCAACAGAGAAACAUCCACAUAUUUUUCAAGUAGGGUGGCUUUAUCUUUCAUGAUUAUCUUAAUUGUUAUCACAAUGCAUAAGCAGAGGUCUUUAAUGAAUAAACAUAUUAACAUGCUAACUAAAAAAAAAUCAGUAGUUAUUAAGCAAACUGUUCGCAGUCUUGCAGCUGUUGGUUCUUAGAUCAGUUUUUUUUUUUCAAGUGUGGAUCAUAUGAUGCCAUGUGCUCCAAUGAGCUGUCCAGAAAUAUACAAUUAAAUAAAUAACUUAGGUAAGCUACUGUUCCCCACCCAAUAAAUGAGGAUCUGAGGCAGAAGUUAAUGGAACUUUGAGAUGAGUAAAGCCAAAUGAAAAUAUUCUUCAGUACUAGGAAGCUAUAAACUGUUGAUUACAUCUUAGUAUAGCAACAAGAAGUUUACUUGCUUCUGUGUACUACAGACUCAUUUCUUCACAAUUCCAGCUUGAGUAUUACCCUCCCUCCUCACAACCGUGUAAAGGAUGGUGAACCUAAUCCAAAGUUCUGACCUGUUUGUAGCUUCGAUUUCUACUGAAAUUAGAAAUUGACCUGCCAGUAAAGAUGCUAUAGGAUUUGAUACCUUGUUAGGAUUUGUGUGCUAUGGAGUUUUGAAAUCCAGAAGCUGCACAAAAAAUUUUAAGAACCUAUGCUUUCUUCUUCAUGGCCCUGUAAAGCUAACUGAAUUCAUGCUUGUUUCUUUGAUUUCUGUAAUGCAGAUACUUGUGCUGUGACUGUGAUGAGCAGAUUUAAGGGCCUACACUUACUUAAACCAAACACUAUCGAAGAUAAAUGGCUUCUGCAGCACUCUGCAUGCAGGAAAUGUGUACUAUGGCAGACUCAAUGCAAGUCCACAGGUGCCAUACAACAGCAUCCUUUAACAGUGAAAUUAACCACAGUAAUUAGCACCGCACACCCCAAAACCUCUCUUGUCACUUACCUGUUUGGAUGAAUAUUUUAUGGACUUAAUAUCUUUAGGGAAUGAACUCCAUUUAGAAGUGUAAUUUAGGAAUUUUGCAGUCUAUUUUUAAUUAAGAUCUACUAGAUGCUUUGUACUAAAGUACACAACCUUAUCUGAUGUUGAAUUCUUUCAAGUUUUUUACUUUGCUAUUACUGCUCGUCUAUUGUUUGUAAAUACAUUGAUUUUCAUCUGAAGUAUAACUUUGUAGUUCAGUAUUGGAUUUAUUUCAUGACUGCCAAGUAAAUUAAUAUAAUCUGAAAAAAAAACCCCAACACUAAAUCUAGCCUCUGUUUGAAGUCUUGUAAGUUUUCCUGGAAGUUACUGUUCUACAUAUGUUGCUCCAAAAGCAAUGCCACCUAGUUAUCUCUACGGAAACUACAACAGAUACAAAGAGCAGAAUAGCACUAUUUGGUGGAGCAAAGUCUCAGAUACAAAGCACUGUUUUUCAACAUAGUCACCAUCACUAGCUUUGCAUUUUCACUAGUGAUGAACAAGAGCCUGCAUGCCAUGCUUUUAAAAAUCUGCACCAGCAGAGUUGACCAGAUGUUUUUCAGCUGCUAUGACAGUGCUAUUGCUAGGAAAUAUUGCCCAUGCAGUCCAUAUUUCAUCAGCCUGAACAGAUGGAAAUCAAAAGGUGCCAAUCUGGACUAUGCUGUGGGUGUAGUAAGAUAGUCCAACCAAGGCUGACAAGUGUGUGGUCUUCGAACUAGCACUGGGUCUGGUGUUACUGUGUUGCAAGAUAGUUUGUCUUCUUCUGUGACCUGACUUUGGAAGUUCAAGCCUUCAUCUUAGUCAGCAUCGUGAUACAGCAGUCAGUUGAUGGCUUGUCCAUGUUUCAAGAAAUCCAGAAGAAUCACUCCUUUCCUAUCCCAAAAGACAGUGCAUAUCACUUUACCCACAGAGGGCUUAUUCUUGAACUUCUUCAUCAAUGGGGAAUUCAUGCUGCCACUCCAUGGAGUACCAUUUCAACUCUGGCUCAUAGUAGUGACACAACGUCUUGUUACAGGUAAUGGUAUGAUCCAGGGAACCAUCAUCUUCUGCCUCAUAUUGAUCAGUAGGUUCUGACAAACUUGCAUAUGGUGUUCUUUUUGCUCCUGUGUGAGCAUUUGUGGAACCCACCUAGCACAAACUUUGUGAUAUUGCAGCAUUGCAACUAUUGUUUCUAGUGCAUUGAAGCUGAUGUUCAGAUCUAUAUACAGUACCCUGGUUGUAAUCUUGUAAUCUGCCAAUUUGUGCAGAAGAGCUGACCGAGACACUCUUCAUUUUGUAGUGUGACAGUUGUGCAUGGCUGUCCAGAACAUGGCUGCUCAUUCCUGUCACUGUCAUCACUGCUGAAACACACCACUCACUGCCUACUGUGCUCUCAUCCACUAUUUGGUCUCUGCUGCUAUUUCUUGCAUCGCAACAAAUGGAAUAUUGGUGGGAAGGCUUAGCAUCUACUACCAUACUACCAGCAUCCACUUCUGGUGUUGUGGGCCAAUAUAACAAAAUAGGAGGCAUUAGUUUUGGAGCAGCCUCAUGCCUUGAUAUAUGCAUGCAUUUUUAUUCUCUUUUUGUAAACAUGCUAUCCUACAAAACUGUUCAAUUGGAAGUACUGUAAUAUGACUCUGUAAAAAAUGUUUUCUUUCCUUGAUGAAUGAGUAGCUAACAACAACAACAAAACACCUCUAUCUUGUCUGAUCUCCGGAAAUUCUUCAGACUCAAAACUGUAAUGUAGACCUCAUCUGCUUUGUUAUGACUUAUUUAUUGUGUUCAUAGGGUUUUCAUGUUCUGAGUUGGGUCUGAUAAUUGAAGUCAGGUGUUCCAACUAAUCGGUUUUUCCGUUAUGAAACAAUUAUUUGAUUACAGUGCAGAAAGUCGUGGAAACCACAGUAGGAAUGAUGUUAUAAGCACUGUACCUUUUAAAAUUCUCUCUCAGUUUUUAUUGAAAUAAUUAAAUUUGUAUUAGAAGACUUUCAUAGCAAAUGGGAAAUGUAUGUCUUCACUUUAUAGAGAGAAGAUAACCUUGUUGUGAGGAUGCUCAAGCAUUGGAACAGGUUACCCAGAAAGACUGCUCAGUCUCUGUCCUUGGAGCUUUUCAAGACUCAGCUGAGUUGAGUUCUGAGCAAUUUGAUUUGGUGUCAGUAUUGACACUGUUUAGAUUGGGAGGCUGGAUUAAAAGAUCUCCUGUAGGAAGCUGAGUUAUUCUAUGAAUCAUUUCAAUAUUAUGCAUAUUUAGAAUCUGAAGUGUUUUCAUUAAAAACAAGCCUGUACCAUUUGAAUUGAAAAGCACGUGGUGUGAUCUAAGAUGAAGAAGAAUGACUUAAGCACUUUUCUUGAAUUCUCUGUUCUGCUGGAAACUCUGGUGGUGAAGUAGUCAAUCUAAUCAAGUAGAAUCUGAGGAUUGGUAAUUAUUAGAAAAGCAAUAAUUAGUCUUUUUUCCUGGAACAUGUUGAGGACAAAUUAAAGAAUAAAGACUACGGCAUUUGGCUACAUGGAGGAAAAGGAUCUGAGGGUGCAGUUUGGCAGCGGGCUCAACAUGAGCCAGCAAUAUGUCCAGGUGUCCAGGAGGGGGCCUGUGGCAUCCUGGCUUGUAUCAGAAACUGUGCAGCCAGCCCGAAUAUGGAGAUGAUAGUCCUUCUCUACUCAGCACUGGUGAGGCUGCACCUUAAAUACUGUGUUUAGUUUUGGGCCCUCACUACAGAAAAGGCCCUGAUGCCCUGAAGUGUGUCCAGAGAAGGGCACUUCUGCUGUUGAAGGGUUCAGAACAUGAGUCUUACGAGGAGUGGCUGAGGGAACUGGGAUUGUUUAGACUGGAGGAGGAUGAGGGGAGACCUUGUUGCUCUCUGCCAUUUCCUGAUAGGAUGUUGAGGCAAGGUGGGGGUUCAUUUCUCUGAGAUAACAGUGAUAGGACAAGAGAGGUAUUGGCCUCAAGUUGUGCCAGGGGAGGUUCAGACUGUGUGUUAGGGAAAAUCUCUUACCAGAAAGUGUGAUAAUACAUUGGAACAGGCUGCUCAGGGAGGUGGUAAAGUCUCUAUCCCUGGAAGUCUUCAAAAAACAUGUGGGACACAAUUAGGUGGCAUGGUGGUGAUGAGUUGAUGGUUAGACUAGUAAUCUUCAAGGUCUUUUCCUACCUUAAUGACUCUACGAUAAAUGCAGUUUCAGUCUUGCCUAAUACAAAAGUCAGAACUUUUCCCAACAUCUUUAACAGGGUGUUACUUUCAUGUGUGUGUGAGGCAUGCAUGUCCGGAGAAGGGAUGGCAAUCUGUGAUAAAAAUGCAAUUAUCAUAUCUUCUAGCAGUUGUGAUAGUUAACAGUGCAUAGACUGAACUGCUACCAUCUCCACACUGAAAGAAAUCAAGAGUCAUGUCAGGUUUCAGUAUCCUUGGACAUAUUUCUGUUGUAAAAAUGUGAUCUCACCCACAGCUGAAUAAACAACACUUAAUACCUGCGAUGGAUAAGUUGAAUAACCUUUUUAAGGUAGCUGAGUGAUAAUCCUUGUACAUGGUUAGUUUCGGUUUUUGGCAAAGAGAAUACUGACACAAUAAAGAGCAGUUGUGAAGCACUUCAGGCUAGAAUGGGGUGAAGAAAUACAGUAAUGAAGUAAUAGCUGUUGCAGGCAAGUACCAACAAGAACAUAGGGGUCUAAAGUCAGUUUGAAGACUUGACCUUACCUUUGCUUUGCAGUUCAUCUAAAAUACAUUAAAGUUCAUAAUAUCAACUAAAAAUCCAUUAAAAUUCUUGAUGUGUUUCACUAUGUGAAACUUUAUAAAUGAUUGAAAUACUCUUGUCUCAUUGUUGGAGGCAACUGCAACCGGGACUCUUUUAUUCUUUGUACUUAGACGCUGCUUGCAGUCAUCAUGGUCAUCUUCAUAGACACAGCUAAUUUUCCUGAAAGCCACCAGCCACCCCACAAGAGGAAUUGGAAAUGAUAUACAUAGGUGAAUAAACUGUGGGCAGGCAAAUCAGGGACUUUCAGUAGAAGCCAAUAAGAGAAAGUACUGUUAAAGUACUUGCACCAGAGCUCUUGUAAAUUACCUACCUGUGAAAGAUCAUAUUUAUUCUUGAACUUAAAAUAUUUUUCAAUAAUUUAUUAAACAAAUCUGUUAAAUUUGUUAAAAAAAGAUUUUUAGUAUCCUAUUGUGUAUAUCCAAAAGAUAAUU